This 29-nucleotide non-coding RNA is filed under the name Mus musculus (house mouse). Lineage: Eukaryota; Metazoa; Chordata; Mammalia; Rodentia; Muridae. The record is from RNAcentral.
UAGAAGAAGGCAGUAAAUGUACACGCAAA